RNAcentral lists this transfer RNA (68 nucleotides) under Marmota monax (woodchuck). RNAcentral's name for it is "tRNA.Ala". The record is from RNAcentral. Lineage: Eukaryota; Metazoa; Chordata; Mammalia; Rodentia; Sciuridae.
GGAUUGUGGCUCAGUGGUAGAGCGCUCGCCUAGCACAUGCGAGGCCCUGGGUUCAAUCCUCAGUACCA